This 939-nucleotide unclassified non-coding RNA is filed under the name Hevea brasiliensis (rubber tree). Lineage: Eukaryota; Viridiplantae; Streptophyta; Magnoliopsida; Malpighiales; Euphorbiaceae. The record is from RNAcentral.
CGGAAAGCAGCCAAGAGUUUGCAGGAAGAUCUGUUUGAUCAAUUAGAUGAUGAGCCACUUGACUUACUUGACCAGAAGAAGACCAGGUCAGCUCUUAGAGCAUCUGGCAAUCUCAAGAGGAAGUCUGAAUCAGAAGAUGAAGCAGAAAUAGAUUCUGAAGGCCGUUUGAUUAUUCACGAUGGAGAUAAGAAGCAAAAAAGAGUUAAGCCAGCUUCUGAUGAUUUAGAUGUAAGAAGCAAAGCAGGGAGUCGCUUUUCAGAGAGCUCAAGGAAGACUCAGAAACGGAGGAGAACAUCUGAAUCAGGAUGGGCUUACACUGGAACAGAGUAUGCGAGCAAGAAGGCAGGUGGUGAUGUCAAGAAGAAAGACAGACUUGAGCCGUAUGCCUACUGGCCCCUUGACCGCAAGAUGAUGAGCCGGAGGCCUGAACAUCGGGCAGCAGCACGAAAAGGAAUGUCAAGCAUUGUGAAGCUAACAAAGAAGCUUGAAGGCAAGAGUGCAUCAUCUGUGCUGUCCGUGAAGAGAUCUAAGACUAAAAAGAAAAAUAGAUCAUAAAUAGAGGAUGAAGUCGAAGUCUGAUUUGAUGAUACUACGUCAUGAGGGAGAGCUCUGUCCAGAGGCUUGGUAGUUUUUGUGCCAUAGUUUGUAGUUGGGGAUUCUGGAUAUCCAGUACACCCAUGUUUUCUUUCGUGUCCUUUUUCAUUUAAUUCAUCCAUAUAUAUCACCUUCAACAGGUGAUUUGUUUUUUUUGAUAGGGUUGUAUGUAGGAAAUAGAGUGUACGUAUGCAAAUGCAUUCAAUACAAGCUACUUGAAUUGGUGAGUUAUUGGUAAUAUAUAACAUUAUUGCAAUAUGCAAUGACUUAAAAGUAUAUCCGAGUCUUCUGUAUUAUACCAGUAAAUUUUUUGAUUGUAUUUGAUAUUUUGCAGUUUCAAUCAAG